This 497-nucleotide ribosomal RNA is filed under the name uncultured bacterium. Its description in RNAcentral is "partial 16S ribosomal RNA". It matches the Rfam family "Bacterial small subunit ribosomal RNA", at positions 28 to 507 of the family's 1533-position model. The record is from RNAcentral.
GAUGAACGCUGGCGGCGUGCCUAAUACAUGCAAGUCGAGCGAACAGACGAGGAGCUUGCUCCUCUGACGUUAGCGGCGGACGGGUGAGUAACACGUGUAUAACCUACCUAUAAGACGGGGAUAACUUCGGGAAACCGGAGCUAAUACCGGAGAAUAUACUGAACCACAUGGUUCAAUAGUGAAAGACGGUUUUGCUGUCACUUAUAGAUGGAUCCGCGCCGCAUUAUCUAGUUGGUAAGGUAACGGCUUGCCAAGGCAACGAUGCGUAGCCGACCGGAGAGGGUGAUCGGCCACCCUGGAACUGAGACACGGUCCAGACUCCUACGGGAGGCAGCAGUCGGGAAUCUUCCGCAAUGGGCGAAAGCCUGACGGAGCAACGCCGCGUGAGUGAUGAAGGUCUUCGGAUCGUAAAGCUCUGUUAUUAGGGAAGAACAAAUGUGUAAGUAACUAUGCACGUCUUGACGGUACCUAAUCAGAAAGCCACGGCUAACUACGUG